CGUGUAGGCGGGACAGCAGGUCAGAUGUGAAAUACCCGGGCUCAACCCGGGGGCUGCAUUUGAAACCUCUGUUCUUGAGUGUCGGAGAGGAAAGCGGAAUUCCUAGUGUAGCGGUGAAAUGCGUAGAUAUUAGGAGGAACACCAGUGGCGAAGGCGGCUUUCUGGACGAUAACUGACGCUGAGGCGCGAAAGCGUGGGGAGCAAACAGGAUUAGAUACCCUGGUAGUCCACGCUGUAAACGAUGAAUACUAGGUGUAGGGGGUAUCGACCCCUCCUGUGCCGCAGUUAACACAAUAAGUAUUCCACCUGGGGAGUACGGUCGCAAGAUUGAA
RNAcentral lists this ribosomal RNA (332 nucleotides) under uncultured bacterium. Its description in RNAcentral is "bacterial SSU rRNA". It matches the Rfam family "Bacterial small subunit ribosomal RNA", at positions 568 to 898 of the family's 1533-position model. The record is from RNAcentral.